Molecule: non-coding RNA, 2015 nt
Organism: Physcomitrium patens
Lineage: Eukaryota; Viridiplantae; Streptophyta; Bryopsida; Funariales; Funariaceae
Source: RefSeq, a predicted model, not a curated record
CGAGAUAGAGAGAAAAGAAAGACCCCGUGGGGUUUCUCAUGAAACAAGCUCGAAGGAGCAAGACGAUGAUAACAAUAAUUUUCUACCGCAAAAUUAAAAUCGACAUCAUAAUGGCGGAGCAUCAUGAGGUUGUGCUGCAGAAGUACUUUAUGACGCCAAGUGACUGCUUCGACUCCACGUGGAGAAGGGCGGGAGAGGGAGUAUGAUAUAUAUAUUUAUUGGACGACAAGAUCGGCUGCAAUCUUGGUUUCUUGACGAUUGGUUUGGACGCGGCAGUCGGCUUGUCAGAAGAAUCACGCAGGGCUGCACAACAACGCACAGUUUCCACACAGUUAUUUGAUUUUCUACAUGCCGGUUUGUGGCUCCCAGUUCUUUACAGCUGGAAGCGGUCACUAGGUCACUUACUGCGGAGAUUAGUGCUUGGUGAGCAUGAUUGUUCGACUGUGGCAUACUGGGAGGGCGUUCUUCCUACGACACAUGCUCUGGGGGUACCAGCAAUGGAAUCGUAUGGUAAAUAUCCUUUUUUAAUUUAAUGUAAUUUAAUUGAAUUAAGAUGUGUUUGUAGGUGUGAACUCCAUGAUUUAGCUUGGAUUUCGACUCUCUAGCCCCACAAACAGUGAUAUACGCUGCAUCGGUGGUUGUUGGUAUCCUCCUUUGAUUCAGUGUCUCCUCGAGUUCCAUCUCAUGUGUGUGCUAAUUGGUCAAAUCCCUAAUUUGAUGGGUCCACAUUAUUGCCAUAAAAUAACAGGGAAAUGUAAGCAGGGUUUAGUGCAGCAGCGUUAGCACUGAAUGAGUUGCGACGUGCCAUGCCAGAUUGUAUGGCUCCUGUGUUUACAUCCCCCCUCGGGGAGACAUGCUUUUUUUCUUUCCACAAAGGAAUCUCCAGCAAGGUCGCAAUGGUCGUCCGAGUCGGACGCUGACAUCUGCGGACGAAACUGCUGGACUUAUUCAAUCUGCACCAGCUGAACCAAAAGAAUCACAUACCCCCCUCCCCAAUUAAAAUAACCAAGCUGUGAAGGCAGCAUGCAGCAGCAGCAGCAUCACCAAACGCAAGCAGGAUCCUCUCAGCUACCCCUCCCGGGAACGAUGCGAUUCUCUGGGUGACGAUAAUGACGCGCAUGAUAAAAAAAAAACUAACGCCAAUCUGCGCCGACUAUGACGACUUCCGCUGCCAAGACCACUCCUAGCAACAACAACAAAAUUCCUCCAUAAACACUGAUAUAACAGUUCCAACGCAACGCGAUUCUCAACUCGUCUGGACCCGUACCAGAGGUCUCCAUCUCCAAAUCGUGAAACCCAAAAGUCGCAAAAUGUUGGAUCUGGCGAUCACAAGUCGCUGGCAUCAAGUCAAAUCCCGUACCAGUUCGUCAGCUUUUGAUCUCGGUGUCCAUGGAACUACUCUCUUCACCCUUCUUAAAUAAAAUUACUCCCCACUUUGGAUGUCACUGCAAUAUAAUUCUACUGAUGCGUGCAGUGAGAUGUGAGAGUUUGCAGUGUAUAAAGAUUCGAUCAGCAAUUUUUUUUUUCCUAUUCCUCAAUGGCGAUCCAUCAUCGAAGGCAUAUCGAUGUGGUUGCAGAUGUGCACAUCGACAAGUCUAGACAAUGUCUACAAGUCGUAUCACCCUCGGGAGCUUGUGUGCACCAUUUUCCUUAAUUGUUUUUGUGUGUAGGAGUUUGAUUAUCUCGGUGAUGUGUAUGGUUUUUUAAGCAAUCUGUCACUGAUUUUGAAUACCCAGUUUGUCAGGCUUUGGUGAUCUUGUUGUGAAGGUAACACCCACGUAUGCCAAGAAGUUCAGAUGGGUGAUUCAAUACUACUACAGUGUUUUCGAGUGAAAAUAAAAUACUGGGAUACAUACAAAAUGAACAGUUGUAGAUUCAGGUAUGAUUUUUUUUGCUGUUUGGAUUCAGAUAUGCUUUUACUGUUUUUGUUUUUUAUGAAAUUUAUUAGGAUUGUACUGUUAGCGAGCUUCGACUUGAGUGAAAGAAUAGCACAUGGAAUUAGAAGACUGUGAAGG